GGCCUAACACAUGCAAGUCGAACGGCAGCACAGAGGAGCUUGCUCCUUGGGUGGCGAGUGGCGGACGGGUGAGGAAUACACGGAAUCUACUCUGUCGUGGGGGAUAACGUAGGGAAACUUACGCUAAUACCGCAUACGACCUACGGGUGAAAGCAGGGGAUCUUCGGACCUUGCGCGAUUGAAUGAGCCGAUGUCGGAUUAGCUAGUUGGCGGGGUAAAGGCCCACCAAGGCGACGAUCCGUAGCUGGUCUGAGAGGAUGAUCAGCCACACUGGAACUGAGACACGGUCCAGACUCCUACGGGAGGCAGCAGUGGGGAAUAUUGGACAAUGGGCGCAAGCCUGAUCCAGCCAUACCGCGUGGGUGAAGAAGGCCUUCGGGUUGUAAAGCCCUUUUGUUGGGAAAGAAAUCCAGCUGGCUAAUACCCGGUUGGGAUGACGGUACCCAAAGAAUAAGCACCGGCUAACUUCGUGCCAGCAGCCGCGGUAAUACGAAGGGUGCAAGCGUUACUCGGAAUUACUGGGCGUAAAGCGUGCGUAGGUGGUCGUUUAAGUCCGUUGUGAAAGCCCUGGGCUCAACCUGGGAACUGCAGUGGAUACUGGACGACUAGAGUGUGGUAGAGGGUAGCGGAAUUCCUGGUGUAGCAGUGAAAUGCGUAGAGAUCAGGAGG
RNAcentral lists this ribosomal RNA (669 nucleotides) under Stenotrophomonas sp. AC14. RNAcentral's name for it is "bacterial SSU rRNA". It matches the Rfam family "Bacterial small subunit ribosomal RNA", at positions 45 to 704 of the family's 1533-position model. Lineage: Bacteria; Pseudomonadati; Pseudomonadota; Gammaproteobacteria; Lysobacterales; Lysobacteraceae. The record is from RNAcentral.